GAUGAACGCUAGCUACAGGCUUAACACAUGCAAGUCGAGGGGAAACGAUAUUGGAAGCUUGCUUCCGAUAGGCGUCGACCGGCGCACGGGUGAGUAACGCGUAUCCAACCUGCCCAUCACUUGGGAAUAACCUUGCGAAAGUAAGACUAAUGCCCAAUGACAUUUAUAGAAGGCAUCCGAAAUGAAUUAAAGAUUUAUCGGUGAUGGAUGGGGAUGCGUCUGAUUAGCUUGUUGGCGGGGUAACGGCCCACCAAGGCGACGAUCAGUAGGGGUUCUGAGAGGAAGGUCCCCCACAUUGGAACUGAGACACGGUCCAAACUCCUACGGGAGGCAGCAGUGAGGAAUAUUGGUCAAUGGGCGAGAGCCUGAACCAGCCAAGUAGCGUGCAGGAUGACGGCCCUAUGGGUUGUAAACUGCUUUUAUAAGGGAAUAAAGUGAGCCUCGUGAGGCUUUUUGCAUGUACCUUAUGAAUAAGGACCGGCUAAUUCCGUGCCAGCAGCCGCGGUAAUACGGAAGGUCCGGGCGUUAUCCGGAUUUAUUGGGUUUAAAGGGAGCGUAGGCCGGAGAUUAAGCGUGUUGUGAAAUGUAGAUGCUCAACGUCUGCACUGCAGCGCGAACUGGUUUCCUUGAGUACGCAUAAAGUGGGCGGAAUUCGUGGUGUAGCGGUGAAAUGCUUAGAUAUCACGAAGAACUCCGAUUGCGAAGGCAGCUCACUGGGGCGCAACUGACGCUGAAGCUCGAAAGCGCGGGUAUCGAACAGG
RNAcentral lists this ribosomal RNA (761 nucleotides) under uncultured bacterium. RNAcentral's name for it is "bacterial SSU rRNA". It matches the Rfam family "Bacterial small subunit ribosomal RNA", at positions 28 to 776 of the family's 1533-position model. The record is from RNAcentral.